GGCCCGGUUACCACCGGAUGUGGAAGUUGAUCUCUUCGCUGGUAAAAAAUAAUUCCACUUCCCCCGGAACCCAGAUCAUCCCCGCGAUUUCCUGUUUAUUGCAUUAAGGCGCUGGGUUUCCGGGGCUCCCGGACCCGCGGAUUCCGCGGGGGUCGGUGGGGUCGGCCGGGCGCCCGCUUCCCCCCCAUGCCGCCGCCGCCGCGCUUUGUCCCCGGCCCCGCGCGGUACAUGGAGGCCGCAGACAUGGAGGCGGCCGCGCCCGGGGUCGGGGCUGGGCCGGGCCAGGAUCGGCGCCGGAGGCGGGAGACGCCCGGGCCGGGACGGAGCCUCGCGGCCCGCCUCGGCCUUUGUCUGGCUCCUGCAAGCGGGUGGCCCGGGGGGCCCGGCGUCCGCGAUCGCGCAGCCUCCCCGAGACCUCGCUCGGGACCUGGGGCGCUCGGAGCGCGGACGCCGCCGGCCCCUCGCCCACUGGGACUCCUGGUGCGCCCGGUGCGCGUCGCCGGGCCCGCAGCCGCGGAUCGCGCGCCGGCCUCCGAGGUGACCGUGGAGCCCCCGCCCGGAGGCGCGGCCUCCUGAUGUGCCUGGCCCAGCUCGGUCCGCCCCGUGCCCGUGGUUGCGUCUGUCGGACGGAGCUCUGCUUGGGCCCGGGCCGCGGCUCUUCCGAAGGGGGGCUGCGUGAUGGGCAAUUUUGAGUUUUGUCCCUGGACUCUGGUUUGCUGUCUCAAUUCAGGCAAGUUAUUUUCUGAAAAGUUAUUUUAUUUUGAAAAAAAGAUCUAAUGGAAUUUGUCGGUGAUUCCUACAAAGCAAUUUUGGCACCCAGAGUUGAAACCACCCUAAGUUAUUUUGUUGCAGGCAAUGGUGACAAAGUCUCACCUGCUCGUAGUUUAUCUUAUGUAAGGGUCACCAGCUUGGUUUAGGUUUUUCCUUUUUUUCUUUUCUCUUAGACAAGUUCUUGCUGUUUAGUCCAGGCUGGGCUUGAACUUGCAAUUCUCCUGCCUCAGCCUGCUGGGAUUCUAGGCGGGGUCGCUCGCUACUCCACCUUUGGUGUAAAAUUUUUGCUGACAGAUUUCGACAUUUCCACUCUCAGGCACAGACUUUGAAUUUAAGGAAACUAAAGACCCCUUUAUCUCUUUUUCUUCUAAGUAUUUUUUCAAAAACAAAAAAUAUCGAGCACACGUGAAUACAAAUGACAAGAGUGAGAUUGUUUUUUAUUUCUGCAAAUCUUUUGAAUGCGUGGUUUGAUACAAUACAGCCAGAUUCUUAAACCUACUUCUGCAUUGGUCUCUUGUAGUGUCACACCAUGCCACCUCUGGAAAACUCCACGGUACCCUUGUACUUUGUUUUAAGUGAACAACCAUGUCAUCCUCUGUUUUCAGCAUGUAGGUCAAGUCGGGGUAUUAUGCAAGACAUACUUUAAAAGUACAGAUAAGAAUGAUUACUACACAUUUUCCUUGGACUCUUACAUUUUUUUUUUUAAUGGGAUUUAGAACCAGGUGUGGUGGUGCAUGCCUGUAAUACCAGCCCUCUGGAAUCUGAGGCAGAGUUCCAGCCCAGCCUGGACAGUUCAGCAACCUGGUGAGACCCUGUCAAAAACAUUUUUUUAGAAAGGGCUGGGGUGUAGCUCAGUGUGAAGGCCCUUUGUUCAGUUCCUAGUACUGAAAGAAAAAAUUGGGAUUUAGUUGUAUAAGCAAUACUUCAGAUAGAUAAAGUUCCAUAAUCUAUGUACCUGGAGACUCAGGAAUGUUUAGAAAUAUUCUAAGUGAUUAAACUUAAUUUUAAUUUCAUUAAUGAUAUACACAAAACAUGACUUCCAUGUGAGAUUUGCUUGUGAAAAUUUGUGUGUAAGGGUAAUCAAAACACUGUAAGAACUCUAGAGAAGUUCUACAAUGAAACCUUUGGUAAAAUGAGAUAGUUUGACACACACACCCUUACAGAGUUCUUAAUGUCUGGAUGAAUCUGAAUUUGUUGGGUGAAUGACAAAUUACACGGGAGUGUGUAAACUUUUAAGAUCACAUUUUGAUUUAAUAGUUUUGAAAGGAAGCCAAAUGUUUCCAGUUGUUUCUGUGAACUCUAGUCUGAAUCUGUCAGUCUGUAGUUCUCUCCUGUUUCAUCAACAGGAAGCAUCUGGUCAUUCUUUAUGUAAUUGUUAGAAAAUGCCAGGUGUAUUUUUAAUGUUUGCUGUUUGUGUGAAAAUAGAUUGGAUCUUGGUUAAUCUUACUUGAUGUUAGUUUAUGCAACCCAUCCCUUCCCGAGCAUUUUAACAGGUAAAGCAAACAUGUCAUUAGGAAUUUAGAAAAUGUUUUUUUUUUUCUUGCGGUACUGUGCAUUCACACUGAGCUACAUCCCCAGCCAGCCCUUUUUAUUUGGAGACAGUGGUUUUGCUGUGUUGCCCCAGCUGAGCUCCGACUUGGGAUCCUAUUGUCUCAGCCUCCUGUGUAGCUGGGAAUUACAGGCGUGUGCCCCGAGCCUCAGCUGCUUCAUGACAUUUUGAAUCAUGAAUCCAUUUCUGAGGGUGCGUGAGACCCUUAUCUAGUUCCCCUUUUCGAGUUCCCCUUUGGAACAAGUGGCCUGAGUGCAGAUGCACUCACUGACCAUCUCUUUUCUCUCACUCGGCAAACACUGAAAAAGAAACCCAAACAAGAUGUUGUACUUUAAGAUAACUUGAUUUUCUUUUUUUGUGUGGUACUGGGGAUAGAACGGAGGACCUCAUGCCUGUCAGUGUAAGGAAGCACGCUACUACUGAGGCACAGUACUACCCAGCUCUUUUUAAGUUUAAUUUAGAGACUGGAUCUGCCCAUGCUGGCUGUGAACUUGCAGUCCUCUUACUUAGCUUCUCCAGUAGUGAGGGUAACAACAGGCUUGUGGCAGUGUGCCUGGCUGGUUUCGUUUUUUUUAAAUUGACAGAUAGUUGGCCAUAUUUUUCUGGUUCAGUAUGGUAAUUUUUUUGAUUAUCAGUGUGAAAUGAUCAAAUUAAGGUAAUUAGCAUUUCCAUCUCCUUAAACAUUUAUCAUUUCCUUAUUUUGGAAACCUUUGAACUCUUCUCAUUCUUUAUAACAUAUAUAAUAAAUUGUAAACUCCAAGCACCCUAUUGAGACAAGUUAAGUUUUUUAAUAUCAUUCCUUUGAUCUAUAAAUCAUCUAGUAAUCAUGUUUCUGGAGCACAAAUAUGUCUACUUUGGCAUAUAGUAAUAGCACUAUACUGUGCAUAACUUUAUUGAAGAUGCUUGUUGUGUCAUACUUUUUUGGGUUUUUUUAUGGUGGGAUGGAGCCCCCAGCUCUCAUCAUACUUAAAGAUAUUUCUGAUGCCAGACAAAGUUAGUGUUAGGGCCUCAGUAUCUUCUCCUUGCACUGUGGUGCUCUGCUGAUCAGCUGUCAGUUUAGUCUUUGCGGGAUAGUUCACCUUUAUUUGGGCUGAUUCAGUCCAUGACAUGAGUGGAGAGGUGUGAGCCUAGGCUUGAAAUGAUUUUGCCACUACAGAUAAACUCAUGUGCAGGGUCAUGGAUUCAGAUGUAGAAAUCCAAAACUCUUAGCCCUAGUUCUCUUACCUGUUAAUUAGGAAGAUUCUAAAGGCUGGCAAAUGCUAAUGCUCGGAUAGAGAAUGUAGAAAAAAAAGACUUGAUCAUUUUAACAUUUCAUGUGAAUCAGAUUUCGCUACUUUGUAAUUUUUUUAAGAAAUAAAAAGGUUAAGUGGUAGAACCGCAUAUACAAAGAACUGAGUGUUGGCCCCACUUUACUCUGUAUUGGUUGUGCCAGUGAUACUGUAUCAGCUUUUAUUGUAUCAGCAUACUCUCCGGGAGUGGGACUAUGUAUCUUUCCCCAAACUUGAUAUUACAGUAGAACCACCUGUAGAUUACUUAAACACAACAGCAACAAAACAGACGCCAGCUCUUAACUAGGCUAGGGCCUGGGUGUCCUUUGUUGAAGUUUCCAAGAUUGUAGACACUGAGUAUAAACAUUAAACUGUAGAGCACAGGCAGAGAAUCUUGACUGGGAGAAAUGGAGAUGAGGACGUACUGAACAUGGGUGUUUGACCCCAUGAAGAGCGGACAGCAGCUUUAAAUACUUGGAGGUUGGUCAGAAAGGCCAGGUUGGAUCUGACCAGAGAGAUGGAAUUAAAGGGUAGAAGUGGGAGUCAGAUUUCAAUAAUGCUCCGAGAGAAAUUUCCUUAAAAUUGCAGAAGUGAAAUGGGUUGUUUUGGGUGGUGGGCUGUGCCCAUUCCCUGACAGUGUCCAAGUUGGGGAUUCUAGGGUAGAAGAGCUGAUGUGCUGAAGGAGGAUUUGGGCUGUGUGUCCUUGGGUUCCCUACAAACUGAGAGUUCAUAAAAUAUGUCGAGGUUUGCAGAUAUUUAGAGGAAGAGCAAAACUAAUUGAAACAAUUGAGCUUAUUGGAUCAUAAUUUCCACCUUCUUGGAUAGAGAACAGUUUUGUUUUGUUUAAGACAGGGUCUCACUGUGUAAUCCCGGCUGGCCUUGAGCUCAUAAUCUUCCUGCCCCAGCCUCCUGAGUGCUGGCAUUACAGGCAUGUACCUAUACCCUGCUGAGAGAUGAGCAUUACGUGAGAGGGUUCUUUGAUGAAGAGCUUUAAAUUACACUGUAAUUUGGCAGACUUGAGCCUUAAAAAUGGACAUAACUUCUGACAUGGACAUUUCCAUUUAAAGGAAUUUAUCUUGAUGUCGUAAAGGUGUGCAUGAAGUUUUCGAUAGUAGCAUUGUUAUUAAUGGAGCUAUGUGUUGGAUGGAGUUGUAGCUCCUGCGUGGCAGAGCUUAGCGUGCACUAGACUUUGGACACCCCCCCCCCAACAACCAACCAAACAAAAAAACUGUUUACACCUUUAACCCCUGUAGUAAUCUUACAAACUGGUCGGUUAGUUGGCCCAUUUUUCAGAAGACAGUACUGAGGCAUAAAGAAAUGAGGGAGCGGACCUAAGGUAGCUAGGAUGUGCACCCGCCGUGUGAUGAAAGCCAGCAUUCCUGAUCACUACACUGUAAGCUUGUAAACACCUGAAUGUCCCCAGUGAGUGUUAGGGUGCAUCCCUAAAUGGGAUGAUUCUAACACCAUCCAUUAAAGUAAUGAUGUGAGAAGAAUGUAGACAUGAAAAGGUGUCUUGGUAUAUGUAAGUGAAAAAGUAGAUUUAAACCCAGGAUGUAUUUUGAUAAGUGAAAGAAUACAUGCUAAAUUGUCCUGAAAUUAUUUCCAAGUGUAAUUUUAUAAGGUGAUUAUUUUCUUUGUGCUUGUCCAAAUUUUCUAACUUUUACAGUGAAAGUGAAUUAUUGUGCAUUACUUACAAUUAAAAACAUCUUGAUGCUCCUAAUACAAAAUUAAAGAUACUCAUGGAAGCUGAGGAAUUUGGAUUUUACACUAUGCAAUUUAUGCAAGUGGAUUUGGAGAUUUGUAUAAAUGAGAAUUUGUAAGUGCAGGAAAUGUUGGGUUUUUUAAAAAAAGUUCGAUUCCUUACAUUUUAGAAGUAUACCUUAAUUGAAUAGAGAUAAAUAUCAGUGACUCCUACCACCUCCCUGACCAUAAUUAGUAGUUUUGUUUUCUUCAUCUCAUGUACUAUUUUAAAUAUUGUAUUAAUCCCACUUACUCUAUAUGAUGUUAGGCAGUUGACUUAAUCUCUUUGUGCUGUAGUUUUCUCCUGGAAAAUGGGGAUUAUUAUAAUACCUAUCUUGUCGUGAUGGGGAGGAUUAAUGAAUUAGUACACACUGUAUAAAGUAAUCAGAACAGUGCCUGACACAUAGUUAAUAGCUCAGCAAAUGCCAAUAAUUGUUGCUAUAGGAUCACAGUCCACUAAUCAAAAUCCUUGGAGUCUAAUAAUUUCAGAAUUAAUUUUUUGGAGCUGGGUAGUACGUAUACCUGUAAUCUCACUACUCUGGGCAGCUGAAGGAGGAGGAUGGAGAGUUGGAGCCGCGCCCCCUCCCCCAACCUAGUGAUUAGUGAGACCCUGUCGCAAAGAAAAAAAUAAAGACUGGAUUGUGUCCAGUGCAGUACUCUUCUUCAGUGGUUAUUAUGCCUGCAGUCAGAUGUGUGAACAGUUAGGCCAAAGGGGAUAGACUAUAAAUAGCUGCAUGUCAGUACAGGGCAGGUUUUACUACCAAAUGAAUGAUUUUGAGGCUCAGAUUUUUUUUUUUAGUUUUUAGAAUUGCAGAUAAGAAAUUAGAACAUUUAUUCAAGUUUGAGCCCCAUUUUUUUUUUCUUUUGGUACUGGGGAUCAAACUCAGGUCCUUGCGCGGUGGAACCACUGAGCUAAAUCCCUGGCCCUGAGCCCCAUUUUAUUUUCAUAUUAAAAGAUCUUUUUGUAGUUUGUGUAGCUUUAGUGCAUGGAUAAAAAAUAAUGGAAAGUGUCCACUUGUGCCUCCUUUGAUUAAAAAGUAAGUUGAAACUACUGCUUCUGAGCUUCCUAGGGCUUCACCGCUUCCUUCUUAGCUUAACUGCAGCUUCGCAGUAUUGAGCUUGGCUUCCCAGGGCGCCCCUGCCGUGUCGUUAAGUGUAGCACCUGCACGCACUGCUGCGGCGCUCACGGCCUUUGCUUUGCUCUGGUGUGAGUGUACUGUCCGGGCCUCCCUGUCUCCGCUUGCUCUCUCCUGUCUCCUGUGUCGUCUGUCUCACGCCUUGUGCCCACUUGAUCUCCCGGCAGUGCAGUCGUGGGUCUUCUGCUCUCUGCCCGCGUCUCCCCUUGGACAGGUUUGUUUUGCUCUGAUGACUCCCAGGUGUGUUCUGGUUUGUAGCUCAGGAGAUUUGUUGUGUGUUUCGACUGGAAGGCUGAAGGCAUUCCUGUCACCUUCACAUUUGUUACCUAGUCUCCGAUUGGCACCAGGCUUUCAGUUAGAUUCGCUGUUGGUGCCACCAUAUUUAAAUCUUGAGCUUGUCUGUGAUGCCUCUUUUUCCUUAGGCCCAUCAAUCAGGCAUAGUUUUUCUAACUUCAGAUUCUCCUUCCUUGAGUCUGUCCUUCAUGUGACUGCCGGGAUAAUUUUCCAGAAACUUUUGAACCCUUUGCUACCAAACUGAAAGCCCAAGGAGAGAGCAUGUGCUGUUGACCUUUGCCAUGAACUGAACCUGAGCUGAAUAAAUGUUUGAGUGGAUCUUCAUUUGCUCAAAACUUUGCCUUCUCCCAAUUCAAACUUUCAGGACUUGCAGGAUAAAGUCCGAAUUCUACUUUCUGACUUGCAGACCUUUUUGUUUGUUCUGCUUUUCCACCUUAUCCCUUAUUACUUCUUAACAUUACUGAGUUGGUUUCCUCUGUGGUAUAACUUGUGCUGCCUCUUUCCUUUUCCUUGCCUGCCUAAGCCCAUCCAGGAAUAUUUGCCCCGAGUUGGGUGUUGUUCCAAUCUCUGGUAUUAUAGCAAUGAACAAAUCAAGACAAAAUUCCUGUUUUCUUACCACUGACAUUUGCGGGGGGGACACAGUAAACAAAUAUGUUAGGCUGUCCUGAGCUUCCUGAGGAGGAACGGACUGAGAUAGAAGGCUGGAGUGGCGGCAUGUGGCUGCUGUGUAAGUGGUUAUCUGAGUAAGGAAAGAGCUUUUCUAGGCAGGAAAUGUGUUAGACCCCAAGGUGGCUCCAUGUUUGGCUUAGAAAAAUGCUAAAUUCAUGUGGCCAGAGUAGAGUGACCGAGGGUGAGGGCUCGGGCUGGGAGGCCAUGGGGAGCCAGAGGCACUUCACAUGUGAGGUCUCCCUGGGGAAGCUGUCCUUGACUGCGUCAUCUUGUUAAUUUAAACCUUUUUCAAAUAGCACCUGUAGAAGUAUCUUUCUUUUCUCUGUGCGGGGAUUGAACUCAGGUCCCUUUGCAUGCUAUGCAGAUACUCUAUGCCCAUCCAGCUAGAUUCCCAGCCCCCAAAUUAUUUUUAUAUUGUAACCCACAGUAGUUGUGGAUUAACUACUGAGCAACUUGGAACACCCAGCUGAACUGAGUCAGCGUGGUUCUGGGCGUGGAAGGCCCACCUGAGGAUUGUUGCCAAUGGCAGAAAGACCUGGAGGAAAUGAUUGUAUGCUGUUGAUUUUCUUGGAGAAGCUUGCCUGCUGGUUUUCCGGAUGCAAACUUGGCUUUUUUUCAUCAUCAGAGGAGCUCAAGGCCUCGCUGUCGCUGGGAAUGGCUGCUGUUCUCAGGGAAGCUCUGAUCUUCGCCUUGAGCAUUGCUUCCUGCUCCAUGCAGAUCCCUCAGCCUGGUGCCACAAACCCUUCACCCCUCUUGGGCAGACUUUGUGGCUUCCACCACUGGCCCUUGGGCCUUCCUGGGGCAGAUCCUCAGUGCAGACCUGCAUGAGAUAUUGCUGUGGGCCCUGGGCCUCUGGCUGGACUUGUGAGGGACAUUGGCGUGGGAUCCAGGCCCUCCAGUGGAUUCUUCUAGCACAUGGACAGAUCUGUGGCACUCCUCUGCAUUUGACUUUUUGGCCUUCCCAGGCCCUGGAAAACUCUCUUCUAGUGUCUGCUUCUUUGAUACCAUCCUUAGCUUCCGCCGGUAAGGGAGAGUGCGGUAGCUGUCUGUCUGCACCUGAAUUUCACUUGGUGUGAUGUCCUCUUGUCACAUGCAUGUUGCUGCAAGUAAGAGAGUUUCAUUCUUUUUCUUUAGUGCAUAAUGUUCUGCCGUGCAUCUACACCAGUUUCUUUAUCCACUCAUCAGCGAUGGGCAUCUGGGUGAUUCCAUGUGUUGGCUGUGGUGAGGAGUGCAGUAAGUGUGUGUACAGCUUUCUGGGACACGGGGGUUUCAUUUCCUUUGGGUGUGUGCGUAGCAGUGGGACUGCUGGGUUCUGCGGGAGUUGUGUUCCUAGUUUUUAAGGACUCCCCCUACUUUUGACUAUAACAGCUGUUAAUGACAUUCCCACUCACAGUGUAUGAGAAUUCUCCUUCCUCUUCAUCCUUUCCAGCAUUUGUUAUUUUUUUGUCUUUUUGAUAGUAGCCAUUCUGACCGGGUUGAGGUGAUAUCUCAUUGUGGUUUUGAUCUGCAUUUCCUUGAUUAUUAGUGAUAUUGAGGUUUUUUUCCUAUACUUAUUGGCCACUUGUCUGUUGUCUUUGAGAAAUGCCUGUCAGGUAAUUUUCCCAUUUUAAAAUCAGAUAAUGAACGUAUUUUUUCAUGUUGUAAAAUAUUUUUGUUUAAAAAUCCUGACUACAAUUUUUCAAAAGUUCAUAGUGUAUUUGUUUUGGCAACACAUAUACCAGAGUGGUAAUGUAGAAAGAGUGGGCUUGUUUACUUCAUUAAACAUUUAUGGAGUUGUAUGCUGGAAACAUCUAAAUACUAAAAUGCGUGUGAGAGAUCGUAUCUCGGCCUUUUGGCUAAGGUCAAGUGUAAAAUACGUGUGAGAAUAAGGUAAAUCCUGACUGACUCCUGAGGCUUACGUCUAGAUGGGAGAGGAGAGCUUGUGGUAUUACAAAUAACAUCAUUGUAACGUGAUGGAAUCCAUAUAAUAAUGGAAAUAUGGCCAGGGUACACUCAGGAUAGAGAGGUGAUUAAUUUUGGGGGUAAUGAAGGGAAACUUUUUGGAGGAGAUAAUGUCUGAACUGGGUUUUGGAAGGAGAAGAGUAACAUUUGGUUAUGUAAAUUGGAGUAAAGAAUUCUCAGGCAAAACAGCAUAUGAAAGAGUGGUGUCCUGAGGUAGAAUGGCCCUUAGGGUGCUCAUGGAUAACUGUGUCAGUGUAAACCCCUCCCCCGGGGGCGGGAGAGAUGAUGAGCCUGCCAAGAGGGACAAGCCAGGUCCCUAAAUGUCUGUGGUACGUUGGAGGUACCACUUUCAGUAAUGGUUGGGCGUGUGCGGUGAAAAUAAUGCAUAUUCAGAAUUACUGGUCGGAAAUUGCCACAUGGGAAGUAGAGAUACUAUCUCACAGUAAGUUCAAAAUAACC
Molecule: long non-coding RNA, 9827 nt
Filed under: Heterocephalus glaber (naked mole-rat)
Lineage: Eukaryota; Metazoa; Chordata; Mammalia; Rodentia; Bathyergidae
Description: lncRNA (ENSHGLG00100046430.1)
Source: RNAcentral